This is a non-coding RNA of Pseudonaja textilis, 924 nucleotides long. The record is from RefSeq and is a predicted model, not a curated record. Lineage: Eukaryota; Metazoa; Chordata; Lepidosauria; Squamata; Elapidae.
UUCCAGCUGCUUUUGGCUGGAGCCCAUCCGGGCCCCCCAACCUCAGCCAGCCUUCCUUGCCCUGCGUGGAACGGCCAGCCCAUCAAAGUGGCACCAUGGCAUCCCGGCUCUGUGAAUACCCGCUGGUGGUACCUCUGUACCGGCACUUGCUGCUUUUUUCGAGGGUACGUAGGCCCUGCAUUGUCCACGUGGGAUACCUGCUGUUGUGCACCGGUGGGCACGGGUUGGAGGCCUCCAACUGGGGCCAAGCAGAUACAGUUUGAACCCCGGCCGGAGUUCGGAAGAGUCGGGCACACCGGCCACUUGCAAGACUUAAAACGGGAGGGACGGGGGGGCAACCUCCUUUGAUGGGAGGACUGGCUUGGGCCAAGACGGGAAGGCCAGGCCAGGCCAGGCCAGGCCCCGGAGGCCCAGCUGCCCCUCUGGUUCUCUCCCGGGGGGGGAACGGGGGCUUCCUUUGCUUCGAGACCACCUACCCACCAUCUCCACGGAGGAAGCCAGGGGAAACAGCCGGAGCCGAAGACGCCAUCCGGGGGAUCCUGCUUUUCUGAGCAUCUUUGCACUCUCUACAGACUCUCCUCUCGAAACACACACAAACACACCCACAAAUAUCUUGGACGGCACUUUGCGCUGGAAACGCACAUCGUUCCCCAAAGGGGCUCCCCCUCCCAAGAGUUUGAGAUGAAGCCGGCGUGCCGGAAAAACGCUUCGUCCAGGACGCUGCGGAGAAUGUCGAGGUUCUGCCUGUGACUUUUGCUGCUCCGCUCAAUCACGGGGCUCGUUCCUGCGACCGAUGCCCCUUUGGGAGAGGAGGGUCGGAAGGGCCCUUGGGCAGGAGGAAGGCACCCCCCCCCCCCACUACCUUCCUCGGUGACCUGUGAGAAGCAAACAACUCCCCAGCGAGAAGGAAGGAGACGGUGCCCG